AAUAAGUGCAGCCAUGCGUUUCCACGCCUAACUUUGAUCGUCCGUCUUAUUUAAAAAAUUUUUAUAAUUAGCAUUUUUGUUGUUAUGAGAUGAUAAAACAUGAAUAGUACUUUGCUCGUGACUAUGUUUUUGAUUUUUUUUCAAAAAAGUUUUUAAAUAAGACGAACGGUUAAAGUUGGGCAUGAAAAAUCAUGGCUACACUUAUU
Non-coding RNA from Oryza glumipatula, 206 nucleotides. NCBI's taxonomy places the organism in Eukaryota, Viridiplantae, Streptophyta, Magnoliopsida, Poales, Poaceae. The record is from Rfam.